AGCAGCCGCGGUAAUUCCAGCUCCAAUAGCGUAUAUUAAAGUUGCUGCAGUUAAAAAGCUCGUAGUUGAAUUUCGGGACCAAUAUGUCGGUCGUGCCUCGGUACGUACUGGCAUCGUUGGUUUCUCCCUUCUGAAGAACCUCGAUGUCAUUAAUUUGGUGUCUUGGGGAAUCAGGACUGUUACUUUGAAAAAUUAGAGUGUUUAAAGCAGGCUCGCGCUUGAAUACAUUAGCAUGGAAUAAUGAAAUAGGACGUUUGAUUCUAUUUUGUUGGUUUCUAGGAUCGACGUAAUGAUUAAUAGGGAUAGUUGGGGGCAUUAGUAUUCAAUUGUCAGAGGUGAAAUUCUUGGAUUUAUUGAAGACUAACUACUGCGAAAGCAUUUGCCAAGGAUGUUUUCAUUAAUCAAGAACGAAAGUUAGGGGAUCGAAGACGAUCAGAUACCGUCGUAGUCUUAACCAUAAACUAUGCCGACUAGGGAUCGGAUGAUGUUAAUUUUUAAUGACUCAUUCGGCGCCUUAAC
RNAcentral lists this ribosomal RNA (519 nucleotides) under uncultured Glomus. Its description in RNAcentral is "SSU rRNA". It matches the Rfam family "Eukaryotic small subunit ribosomal RNA", at positions 569 to 1092 of the family's 1831-position model. The record is from RNAcentral. Lineage: Eukaryota; Fungi; Glomeromycota; Glomeromycetes; Glomerales; Glomeraceae.